RNAcentral lists this small RNA (136 nucleotides) under Streptomyces sp. RNAcentral describes it as "c-di-AMP sequence". It matches the Rfam family "c-di-AMP riboswitch aptamer (ydaO/yuaA leader)". Rfam says of the family: This family represents a conserved RNA structure found upstream of the ydaO and yuaA genes in Bacillus subtilis and related genes in other bacteria. The ydaO/yuaA element is thought to act as a genetic "off" switch for the ydaO and yuaA genes in its native state. Lineage: Bacteria; Bacillati; Actinomycetota; Actinomycetes; Kitasatosporales; Streptomycetaceae. RNAcentral also lists the same sequence under 1 other name. The record is from RNAcentral.
CGCGCGCAUGCGCCGAAUCCCGCAAGGGAACCGGGGAACCACCACCUUUGGGGUGAAUCGGGCCAGAUGUGGCCCGUAGGAGACCUUCCUGCUCCGAACCCGUCAGCUAACCCGGUAGGCGGAGAAGGAAGGAAAG